CAUCCAUUUUUGUAGCACUUUUUUUUUUGAGAUGGAUUCUCACUCUGUUUCCCAGGCUAAAGUGCACUGGCACAACCUCAGCUCACUGCAACCUCGGCCUCCUGUGCUCAAGCAAUCCUUCUGACUCACAGAGGCGCGCGCCACAACACCUGGCUAAUUUUUAUAUUUUUAGAAAAAGAAAUCAGAAUAAUGGUUACCCUUGGGAAAUAACAACUGAGAGGCUACUCUACUCAGGAGGCUGAGGCAGGAGAACAGCUAUAACCCAGGAGGUAGAGGUUGCAGUGAGCCAAGAUCAUGCCACUGUACUCCAGCCUGGGCAACAGAGUGAGACUCUGUCUCAAAAAAAAAAAAAAAAAAAAAGAACUACACAUCAUACUUAAAUUGAUUGGGUGGCCAAACUGUUGGUGCCCCACUUAGAUCUCCUUAGGUCCCUUUUCCCAGUCCCAUGUACUCACUUGUCAGCAACUAUAGCAAAUACUUUGUUGCUAAUAAUUUACACUUGCAAUCUUUAGAGUAUGCAUUCUCAACAGGGGCAAUAAUUGAUUCUUGGGGAGCAAAAAGUGUAUAAAGGUUUUUUUUUUUUUUUUUUUUUUGAGACUGAGUUCUGCUGUGUCGCCCAGACAGGAACACAGUGGCACGAUCUUGGUUCACUGCAACCUCUGUUUCCCGGGUUUAAGCGAUUCUCCUGCCUCAGCCUGUGGAGUAGCUGGGAUUACAGGCGUGCA
This 725-nucleotide long non-coding RNA is filed under the name Pan troglodytes (chimpanzee). Its description in RNAcentral is "long non-coding RNA NONPTRT004579". Lineage: Eukaryota; Metazoa; Chordata; Mammalia; Primates; Hominidae. The record is from RNAcentral.